This is a long non-coding RNA of Periophthalmus magnuspinnatus, 392 nucleotides long. RefSeq lists it as uncharacterized. NCBI's taxonomy places the organism in Eukaryota, Metazoa, Chordata, Actinopteri, Gobiiformes, Gobiidae. The transcript has 3 exons. The record is from RefSeq and is a predicted model, not a curated record.
CUUAUCUGGAAGAAGCUUUUCCUCGCAUGGACGCCGGGCUUCUGUGAUUUAUCUGGGCUCCAAAUGGCAAGCGUGAUGCAGAUGCCUCUCCUCCUCAUCCUCUUCUUCCUCCGUCACUCUACCAGAUGCCCCGAGGUUGAGGACUCCAAAAAUAAACGGUGGCUUCCCCAGAGACCGGUCAAGGCCGGGCGAGUUGGCACGAGCUGGGCAUCAUGGGCUGAGGGAUGAGCAGAUACUGAGUUCCAGGUAUGUCCCACCAGGAGGAGGUCCCAGAGAAGAUCCAGGACACACUGGAAGAAGUAUGACCUGAGAACGCCUUGGGGUCCCACCAGAGGAGCUGGAGGAAGUGUCUGGAGUGAGGGAAGUCUGGGAGUCCCUGCUUAGACUGCUGC